RNAcentral lists this unclassified non-coding RNA (21 nucleotides) under Chlamydomonas reinhardtii. RNAcentral describes it as "small RNA Cre_0573". Lineage: Eukaryota; Viridiplantae; Chlorophyta; Chlorophyceae; Chlamydomonadales; Chlamydomonadaceae. The record is from RNAcentral.
AGGGCGGGACUGCCACAGCUG